CAGAAGGAGAAUCAGCGCGCAGCUGGAGGAUGUUUUAUUCUUCCAGACCGAGUGGAUUUGGGAGAUGAAGAUUUAUGGAGUAUUUCUUCAGUUUUAAUUCACUGGAUGAUUUAUUUUUGUUGUUGCUGCUGAUUCUGCGACAUGAACUCCAGUUUAUCAGAGCAGGAGCUCACAGCUCUCUCUUCCGUGUACGUCUCCUGUCUCAGUUUAAGUUUACUUGGGAGCUGCUCUGUUUUCAUCACAUCAAUUAUAAAGAGAAAAAAACUCAAUGAACA
Molecule: long non-coding RNA, 275 nt
Organism: Neoarius graeffei (lesser salmon catfish)
Lineage: Eukaryota; Metazoa; Chordata; Actinopteri; Siluriformes; Ariidae
Exons: 3
Source: RefSeq, a predicted model, not a curated record